Molecule: long non-coding RNA, 213 nt
Filed under: Phoenix dactylifera (date palm)
Lineage: Eukaryota; Viridiplantae; Streptophyta; Magnoliopsida; Arecales; Arecaceae
Description: long non-coding RNA (PDAC_LNC017275)
Source: RNAcentral
AUGUGAAAGAAUGGCAGCCUUGCAGUCUUCAUUUCAUUAACUUUAUAAGCUUUAGAAACUGGAUAAGAACAUGCAGGGUUCUGGGUGAUUAAGAACCGUGGUUGGUAAUUACUCUUGAUCUCGAUGUUUCUUGAAUUUCUGUUAAAUUUUUUAACUCUUGCAUGGUGGAGUACUUACCUAGAGAUUGUACUCAUGUUGAAUGUAUUAUUUCUG